Molecule: ribosomal RNA, 546 nt
Filed under: uncultured Glomeromycotina
Lineage: Eukaryota; Fungi; Glomeromycota
Description: SSU rRNA
Rfam family: Eukaryotic small subunit ribosomal RNA
Source: RNAcentral
UUGGAGGGCAAGUCUGGUGCCAGCAGCCGCGGUAAUUCCAGCUCCAAUAGCGUAUAUUAAAGUUGUUGCAGUUAAAAAGCUCGUAGUUGAAUUUCGGGAUUAGUACGCUGGUCGUGCCUUCGGUACGUACUGGUGUUACUGAUUCCUACCUUCUGACGAACCAUCAUGUCAUUAGUUUGGUGUGGUGGGAAAUCAGGACUGUUACUUUGAAAAAAUUAGAGUGUUUAAAGCAGGCUCGCGCUUGAAUACAUUAGCAUGGAAUAAUGAAAUAGGACGUUGAUCCUAUUUUGUUGGUUUCUAGGAUUGACGUAAUGAUUAAUAGGGAUAGUUGGGGGCAUUAGUAUUCAAUUGUCAGAGGUGAAAUUCUUGGAUUUAUUGAAGACUAACUACUGCGAAAGCAUUUGCCAAGGAUGUUUUCAUUAAUCAAGAACGAAAGUUAGGGGAUCGAAGACGAUCAGAUACCGUCGUAGUCUUAACCAUAAACUAUGCCGACUAGGGAUCGAAUGAUGUUAUUUUUAAUGACUCAUUCGGCGCCUUACGGGAAAC